RNAcentral lists this unclassified non-coding RNA (294 nucleotides) under Sporocadaceae sp. RNAcentral's name for it is "partial contains 5.8S ribosomal RNA, internal transcribed spacer 2, and large subunit ribosomal RNA". The stretch from base 1 to 71 matches the Rfam family "5.8S ribosomal RNA", at positions 84 to 154 of the family's 154-position model. Lineage: Eukaryota; Fungi; Ascomycota; Sordariomycetes; Amphisphaeriales; Sporocadaceae. The record is from RNAcentral.
GUGAAUCAUCGAAUCUUUGAACGCACAUUGCGCCCAUUAGUAUUCUAGUGGGCAUGCCUGUUCGAGCGUCAUUUCAACCCUUAAGCCUAGCUUAGUGUUGGGAAUCUACUUCUCUUAGGAGUUGUAGUUCCUGAAAUACAACGGCGGAUUUGUAGUAUCCUCUGAGCGUAGUAAUUUUUUUCUCGCUUUUGUUAGGUGCUAUAACUCCCAGCCGCUAAACCCCCAAUUUUUUGUGGUUGACCUCGGAUCAGGUAGGAAUACCCGCUGAACUUAAGCAUAUCAAUAAGCGGAGGA